RNAcentral lists this ribosomal RNA (254 nucleotides) under uncultured bacterium. RNAcentral describes it as "partial 16S ribosomal RNA". It matches the Rfam family "Bacterial small subunit ribosomal RNA", at positions 524 to 776 of the family's 1533-position model. The record is from RNAcentral.
UACGUAGGGUGCGAGCGUUGUCCGGAAUUAUUGGGCGUAAAGAGCUCGUAGGCGGCUUGUCGCGUCGGUUGUGAAAGCCCGGGGCUUAACUCCGGGUCUGCAGUCGAUACGGGCAGGCGUAGAGUGUGGUAGGGGAGAUCGGAAUUCCUGGUGUAGCGGUGAAAUGCGCAGAUAUCAGGAGGAACACCGGUGGCGAAGGCGGAUCUCUGGGCCAUUACUGACGCUGAGGAGCGAAAGCGUGGGGAGCGAACAGG